Molecule: RNA transcript, 3012 nt
Organism: Clarias gariepinus (North African catfish)
Lineage: Eukaryota; Metazoa; Chordata; Actinopteri; Siluriformes; Clariidae
Gene name: C-type lectin domain family 4 member G-like
Exons: 7
Source: RefSeq, a predicted model, not a curated record
ACACAAUUUGCCCAGCACAGAGUAAAGAUUAAGACCAUAAAAAAUAUGUAUAUAUAGCUAUAUAUAUUUUUUUUUUGGUGUAAAUAAUCAGCAAUUAUGGGAAAUUCUGAAAAGCAAACAAAUGUAACAUACAAUGAAUUAGAAAUUCAAAAUGAAGCAGAUGAUCAUCCUUCAAAGAUGACCAGGUUUUUUGUGAGAGAUGCACCAAGCUCUAGGUCUAAUCACCCGGCAGCUAUAGUACUGGGGGCCCUAAGUGCUGCAUUUCUUUUCGUUAUAAUUGGAUUGAGUGUUCACAUUUACAGAGUGAAUGACAAGCAUGACAUCUUGUCUCUCAACUCAUCAAUGAUCAGCUCUCAACUUGUUCAACUGCAGUCAGACUGCGGGAGUCUGACUGAGUCCAAGAAAACACUUCAAAAAAAGCAUGAUGAAGACGUAAAACAGAUUCAAAACCUGCAGAUAAAUUUAAACAGAGAGACAGAUUCAAAGAAGACACUAAACUCACAAAAACAAAAAUUAGAAGAAGACAAAAGAAAAUUGCAAUCUCAAAUUUCAAUAAUCAGCUCUCAACUUGUUCAACUGCAGUCAGACCACAGAAAUCUGACUGAGUCCAAAAAUGCACUUCAAGAAAAGCAUGAUGAAGAUGUGAAACAGAUCCAAAACCUGCAAAUAAAUUUAACCAGAGAGACAGAUAUGAGGAAGGAGCUAAUCGCACAAAAACAAAAAUUAGAAGUGCAAAUGCAAUCUCAAAUUUCAAUAAUUAGCUCUCAACUUGUUCAACUGCAGUCAGACCACAGAAAUCUGAUUGAGUCCAAAAAUGCACUUCAAGAAAAGCAUGAUGAAGAUGUAAAACAGAUCCAAAACCUGCAAAUAAAUUUAACCAGAGAGACAGAUAUGAGGAAGGAGCUAAUCGCACAAAAACAAAAAUUAGAAGUGCAAAUGCAAUCUCAAAUUUCAAUAAUUAGCUCUCAACUUGUUCAACUGCAGUCAGACCACAGAAAUCUGAUUGAGUCCAAAAAUGCACUUCAAGAAAAGCAUGAUGAAGAUGUAAAACAGAUCCAAAACCUGCAAAUAAAUUUAACCAGAGAGACAGAUAUGAGGAAGGAGCUAAUCGCACAAAAACAAAAAUUAGAAGAAGACAUAAGAAAAAUGCAAUCUCAAAUUUCAAUAAUUAGCUCUCAACUUGUUCAACUGCAGUCAGACCACAAAAAUCUGAUUGAGUCCAAAAAUGCACUUCAAGAAAAGCAUGAUGAAGAUGUAAAACAGAUCCAAAACCUGCAAAUAAGUUUAACCAGAGAGACAGAUAUGAGGAAGGAGCUAAUCGCACAAAAACAAAAAUUAGAAGAAGACAUAAGAAAAAUGCAAUCUCAAAUUUCAACUCCUGAAGGUAGGAGUGGCAAGUGCUUGCCCAAUUGGUUGCAGAUGAACAGCAGAUGUUUUUACUUUUCUGUGUCUUCAACAACUCCACGUCGAGACUGGAAUGGAGGCAGGGAUGACUGCAAGAAAAAAGGAGCUGACUUAGUCAUUAUAGACUCUAAGGAGAAACAGGAGUUCAUCGUAAAGAGCUUAAAAACACACUACAACCUACAAUUUAGUUAUAAUAAUGGAUUUUGGAUUGGACUGAAAGACGACCAUGCAGAAGGCACCUGGAAAUGGCUGAAUGAGACACCACUGACAAAAGGGUAUUGGAGGGCUGGGGAGCCAAAUGAUUACUUGGCUGGAGAGGAUUGUGCAGCUGUAUAUUCCACUGAAAAUCCUAUGCAGGCCUGGAAUGAUGCACCAUGUUCAUACUCACUAAAUUGGAUCUGUGAAAAGGAAGCACUUUAGAAUCCUCAGUUAAUCAUGACUAUCUUGUUUUUGUCCAUUAGUGAUAGUUAUAAUACACCAAAGAUGAUAAAACAUUUAGACUAAUUUUAAGUGAGUACAUUCUUUAAACUUAACACUUGUCUUGUACUCUAGGUUGUGUGCUUUUAGUUGUACUGUAUGCGUUACUUACUCUACUUAUAUAUUUCACUUUCUGCAUCACAUUGCAUACGGUUGUAAUAACUGUAAUGUUCUGUACCUGACCUGACUUGUUUUAAGGUGGGGAAAAAAAAAUAAAAAUGUUAAAAUAACUUUGCACGUUCUUCCCGUUCUUGGUGGAUUUCCUCCGGGUACUCUGUUUCCUCCCCCAGUCCAAAGACAUUCAGAUUAGGCUAAUUGGCGUUCCCAAAUUGCCUGUAGUGUGUGAGUGUGUGUAUGUGUGUGCAUGUGUGUGCCCUGCGAGGGAUUGGCACACUGUCCAGAGUGUACCCCACCUUGUGCUCUAAGUUUCCUGGGAUAGGCCCCAGGCCCCCCUGCAACCCUGAUCACAGAAUAAAGCAGUACUGUAUAGAUGAUGAGUGGGUGAGUGCUUUAUUGUUUGUCUAGUCAUUUGUGGUGGGAAUCUUUUUGCAUAACAUUUACAGUAUAUUUAUUAUUGUGCCUGCUAAGAGUCACUUGUGAUGGUCAUUGUGGUAAUACUGAACUAUUUUGAAUUAUGGCUUUUAUUAAUUAUUUUAUUUUAUUGUAAACACUUACUUAAUUUGAUUUAAAAGUAUCAUUAUUUUGAUAAAACAAUCUAUGACAAUCUGAACAAAAUUCUAUGCCACGUACUUCCUCAUCUAAACAAACAUGAAUUGCCUCAGUAGGUCCACCCACAAUCAACAGUAAAUGAGUUCAGUGACCUUGUCAGGGCAAACAGUUUGCCCUGCACAGAGUAAAGAGCAAAGACCACUAACACAUUGAUCACUUUGAUGAGAAUUGUGAAAAAAGUGCAAAAUAUGGUGAACUCUGAAGACCAAGGAAAAGUGACAUACAGUGAAUUAGAUCCUCAUGAGGAUUUAACUGGAGACGUUCAUCCUCUGUAUUCAAAUAUGAACAGGUUUACGCGUCUAAGAGCUGAACCAAGUUCUAGGACUUAUCGACUGGCAACUAUAGUACUGGGGGUCCUAAGUGUUGUAUUUCUUUUUAUUGUAGCAGGACUGAGUCUGCACA